Molecule: ribosomal RNA, 488 nt
Filed under: uncultured bacterium
Lineage: Bacteria
Description: bacterial SSU rRNA
Rfam family: Bacterial small subunit ribosomal RNA
Source: RNAcentral
GAUGAACGCUAGCGGGAGGCUUAACACAUGCAAGGUCGAGGGGCAGCAUAGGGUAGCAAUACUCUGAUGGCGACCGGCAAACGGGUGAGUAACGCGUAUGUAACCUACCCUGUACAGGGGGAUAACCCGGAGAAAUUCGGACUAAUAUCCCAUAACAAUAUCCGGGGGCAUCUUUGGAUAUUUAAAGUUCCGGCGGUACGGGAUGGGCAUGCGUAACAUUAGCUAGUUGGUAAGGUAACGGCUUACCAAGGCUUUGAUGUUUAGGGGUCCUGAGAGGGUGGUCCCCCACACUGGUACUGAGACACGGACCAGACUCCUACGGGAGGCAGCAGUGAGGAAUAUUGGUCAAUGGGCGCAAGCCUGAACCAGCCAUCCCGCGUGCAGGAAGACGGCGCUAUGCGUUGUAAACUGCUUUUCCAGGGAGAGAAACUUGCGCACGUGUUGCGCAAUUGACGGUACCCUGGGAAUAAGCAUCGGCUAACUCCGUG